This 375-nucleotide ribosomal RNA is filed under the name uncultured bacterium. RNAcentral's name for it is "bacterial SSU rRNA". It matches the Rfam family "Bacterial small subunit ribosomal RNA", at positions 523 to 898 of the family's 1533-position model. The record is from RNAcentral.
AUACGUAGGGGGCGAGCGUUGUCCGGAAUUAUUGGGCGUAAAGCGCGCGCAGGCGGUUCUUUAAGUCUUGUGUUUAAUCCCGGGGCUCAACCUCGGUACGCAUGGGAAACUGGAGGACUGGAGUGCAGGAGAGGGAAGCGGAAUUCCACGUGUAGCGGUGAAAUGCGUAGAGAUGUGGAGGAACACCAGUGGCGAAGGCGGCUUCCUGGCCUGUAACUGACGCUGAGGCGCGAAAGCGUGGGGAGCAAACAGGAUUAGAUACCCUGGUAGUCCACGCCGUAAACGAUGAGUGCUAGGUGUCGGGGGUGUCAUGCCCUCGGUGCCGAAGUUAACACAGUAAGCACUCCGCCUGGGGAGUACGGUCGCAAGACUGAA